GAUGAACGCUGGCGGCGUGCCUAAUACAUGCAAGUCGAGCGAACGGACGAGAAGCUUGCUUUUCUGAUGUUAGCGGCGGACGGGUGAGUAACACGUGGAUAACCUACCUAUAAGACUGGGAUAACUUCGGGAAACCGGAGCUAAUCCCGGAUAAUCUUUUGAACCGCAUGGGUCAAAAGUGAAAGACGGUCUUGCUGUCACUUAUAGAUGGAUCCGCGCUGCAUUAGCUAGUUGGUAAGGUAACGGCUUACCAAGGCAACGAUGCAUAGCCGACCUGAGAGGGGGAUAGGCCACACUGGAACUGAGACACGGUCCAGACUCCUACGGGAGGCAGCAGUAGGGAAUCGUCCGCAAUGGGCGAAAGCCUGACGGAGCAACGCCGCGUGAGUGAUGAAGGUCUUCGGAUCGUAAAACUCUGUUAUUAGGGAAGAACAUAUGUGUAAGUAACUGUGCACAGCGUGACGGUACCUAAUCAGAAAGCCACGGCUAACUACGUG
Molecule: ribosomal RNA, 497 nt
Filed under: uncultured bacterium
Lineage: Bacteria
Description: partial 16S ribosomal RNA
Rfam family: Bacterial small subunit ribosomal RNA
Source: RNAcentral